RNAcentral lists this ribosomal RNA (478 nucleotides) under uncultured bacterium. Its description in RNAcentral is "partial 16S ribosomal RNA". It matches the Rfam family "Bacterial small subunit ribosomal RNA", at positions 28 to 523 of the family's 1533-position model. The record is from RNAcentral.
GACGAACGCUGGCGGCGUGCUUAACACAUGCAAGUCGAACGGUAAGGCCCUUCGGGGUACACGAGUGGCGAACGGGUGAGUAACACGUGGGUGAUCUGCCCUGCACUUCGGGAUAAGCCCGGGAAACUGGGUCUAAUACCGGAUAGGACCACUGCCUGCAUGGGUGGUGGUGGAAUGCUUUUGCGGUGUGGGAUGGGCCCGCGGCCUAUCUGCUUGUUGGUGGGGUGAUGGCCUACCAAGGCGACGACGGGUAGCCGGCCUGAGAGGGUGACCGGCCACACUGGGACUGGGAUACGGCCCAGACUCCUACGGGAGGCAGCAGUGGGGAAUAUUGCACAAUGGGCGCAAGCCUGAUGCAGCGACGCCGCGUGAGGGAUGACGGCCUUCGGGUUGUAAACCUCUUUCAGCACCGACGAAGCGCAAGUGACGGUAGGUGCAGAAGAAGGACCGGCCAACUACGUGCCAGCAGCCGCCGUAA